This 253-nucleotide ribosomal RNA is filed under the name uncultured bacterium. RNAcentral describes it as "partial 16S ribosomal RNA". It matches the Rfam family "Bacterial small subunit ribosomal RNA", at positions 524 to 776 of the family's 1533-position model. The record is from RNAcentral.
UACGGAGGAUGCAAGCGUUAUCCGGAAUUAUUGGGCGUAAAGCGUCCGCAGGUGGUUAUCCAAGUCUGCUGUUAAAGCGCGAGGCUUAACUUCGUACAGGCAGUGGAAACUGGGUGACUGGAGUAUGGUAGGGUAGCGGGAAUUCCCAGUGUAGCGGUGAAAUGCGUAGAUAUUGGGAAGAACACCAGCGGCGAAAGCGCGCUACGUGGGCCAUUACUGACACUCAUGGACGAAAGCUAGGGGAGCGAAAGGG